Molecule: ribosomal RNA, 785 nt
Filed under: uncultured bacterium
Lineage: Bacteria
Description: bacterial SSU rRNA
Rfam family: Bacterial small subunit ribosomal RNA
Source: RNAcentral
AGUUUGAUCUUGGCUCAGGACGAAAAGCUGGCGGCGCGCCUAACACAUGCAAGUCGAACGAGCGAGAGGAGGUUUACUUUCUCAAGCGAGUGGCGAACGGGUGAGUAACGCGUGAGGAACCUGCCUCAAAGAGGGGGACAACAGUUGGAAACGACUGCUAAUACCGCAUAAGCCCACGACCCGGCAUCGGGUAGAGGGACAAGGAGCAAUCCGCUUUGAGAUGGCCUCGCGUCCGAUUAGCUAGUUGGUGAGGUAAUGGCCCACCAAGGCGACGAUCGGUAGCCGGACUGAGAGGUUGAACGGCCACAUUGGGACUGAGACACGGCCCAGACUCCUACGGGAGGCAGCAGUGGGGAAUAUUGCACAAUGGGGGAAACCCUGAUGCAGCGACGCCGCGUGGAGGAAGAAGGUCUUCGGAUUGUAAACUCCUGUUGUUGAGGAAGAUAAUGACGGUACUCAACAAGGAAGUGACGGCUAACUACGUGCCAGCAGCCGCGGUAAAACGUAGGUCACAAGCGUUGUCCGGAAUUACUGGGUGUAAAGGGAGCGCAGGCGGGAAGGCAAGUUGGAAGUGAAAUCCAUGGGCUCAACCCAUGAACUGCUUUCAAAACUGUUUUUCUUGAGUAGUGCAGAGGUAGGCGGAAUUCCCGGUGUAGCGGUGGAAUGCGUAGAUAUCGGGAGGAACACCAGUGGCGAAGGCGGCCUACUGGGCACCAACUGACGCUGAGGCUCGAAAGUGUGGGUAGCAAACAGGAUUAGAUACCCUGGUAGUCCACACUGUAAAC